RNAcentral lists this transfer RNA (95 nucleotides) under Chromobacterium haemolyticum. Its description in RNAcentral is "tRNA-SeC". It matches the Rfam family "Selenocysteine transfer RNA". RNAcentral also lists the same sequence under 1 other name. The record is from RNAcentral. Lineage: Bacteria; Pseudomonadati; Pseudomonadota; Betaproteobacteria; Neisseriales; Chromobacteriaceae.
GGAAGAGACUCGUCCCCGGUGGGGCGGCUGGUCUUCAAAAUCAGAUGGGGCCGCCAGCGGUCCCGGGCAGGUUCGACUCCUGUUCUCUUCCGCCA